CGCUUCGCGGUCGGCCAUUGGCCGUCGUUACGAGGGGCGGGAGUUUAAACUGGGCUGGGGCGAGGGCGUGGCCGGUGCGGGUGGGGCGGGGGUGCCCACCUGCCCACCCUCCGCAUCCUCCUAGCCUUUGCUUUGCUUUGCUUUCCUCACUUCCCCUCCCUGCUCCAGGAUGUGGGGAGGAGCGGAAGUAGCAGGGGGGCUCCUGUUUUCCUCACAGCGGACGCCCAAUAAAUGCUGUUGACUGAAUGAUGUUCAGGUCUGAAGUCAAAACCGAAAUCCCCUGCUGCUUUAACAGAAGGCCAACGCAGCUGUUUCCCAUCCGCACUGCCUGGCAAAGAAACUUGCAAUGACCCCAGAAGAACAUGGGGAGAUGUUGGCUCUUCCAUCAACCUGCACCCCUAAGUCACUGCAUGGCUCGGGGCAGAGGACCUCACCCACACCCACACUUAACCUGCAACAUGAAUGAGAAAGAAACAUUUGUGAUCUGUAAGCCACCUGAGAUCUUAGGGUUGUGUUAUCAUCACAUACCAUAUUUUAGCAUAGCAUACUAUAGCAUAGCACAAUACAGCAUAGCAUACCAUAGCACAGGUGCAGCAAUUAACUGUGUCUGCUACAGUAUACAUUUCCAAAUAUAUGGGUCUACAACUGAUAAUAGUGUUUUCUUGUGGUGAUUGUCAUCUCUGUUAUAAAUCCAUGGAUGUGCCUCCUUUUGCCUUCCUAUAGUGUUUAUUUGCAUUUUUGCCUUCUUCAUUAGUCUUGCUAUAUAUUUGUUCAUUUUAUUGGAGUUUUCAGAGUCGACUUUUAUUAUUUUUUUACCAUCUCCCUCUUUUAUCUGUUUUGUUUUCAAUUUCAUUUAUUUCUAGUCCUCGCUUUUUUUAUUUUCUUCUUCCUAAUUUCUUUGGGUUUACCCUGACAUUAUUUUUUACAACUCCUUGAGUUAAAUACCAAGUUCAUUUAAGUCUUUUUUUUUUCUUCUGAAUAUUGCUUAAAUUGCAUUGGAUAGUUUGGAUAUUUAUUAUUUUCAUUGUCCUUCAGUUUUUAAAUUCCUUAUAAUUUUCAUUGCCUAUUAACCCAUGAAUUAUCUAGAACUUUUAAGUUUCAAAAUAAAUUUAGUUUUCAAAUACAUUAAUAGUUUUACUCUUGA
Sapajus apella (tufted capuchin) is the source of this 1144-nucleotide long non-coding RNA. RefSeq lists it as uncharacterized. The record is from RefSeq and is a predicted model, not a curated record. The transcript is spliced from 2 exons. Lineage: Eukaryota; Metazoa; Chordata; Mammalia; Primates; Cebidae.